RNAcentral lists this ribosomal RNA (253 nucleotides) under uncultured bacterium. RNAcentral describes it as "partial 16S ribosomal RNA". It matches the Rfam family "Bacterial small subunit ribosomal RNA", at positions 524 to 776 of the family's 1533-position model. The record is from RNAcentral.
GACGGAAGGUGCAAGCGUUGCUCGGAAUCACUGGGCGUAAAGGGUGCGUAGGCGGCCGUGCAAGUCUGGUGUGAAAGCCCCGGGCUCAGCCCGGGAAGUGCGCUCGAAACUGCGCGGCUCGAGUGCCGGAGGGGAGAGUGGAAUUCCUGGUGUAGCGGUGAAAUGCGUAGAUAUCAGGAGGAAUACCGGUGGCGAAAGCGACUCUCUGGACGGUAACUGACGCUGAGGCACGAAAGCGUGGGGAGCGAACAGG